Small nuclear RNA from Nannospalax galili (Upper Galilee mountains blind mole rat), 165 nucleotides. Its record names the gene U1. It matches the Rfam family "U1 spliceosomal RNA". From Rfam's summary of the family: U1 is a small nuclear RNA (snRNA) component of the spliceosome (involved in pre-mRNA splicing). Its 5' end forms complementary base pairs with the 5' splice junction, thus defining the 5' donor site of an intron. Lineage: Eukaryota; Metazoa; Chordata; Mammalia; Rodentia; Spalacidae. The record is from Ensembl.
AUACUUACCUGGUAAGGGAGACAGCAUGAUCAGGAACGUGGUUUUCCCAGGGUGAGGCUCAUUCAUUACACUUGGGAUGUGCUGACCCCUGCGAUUUCCCUAAAUGUGGGAAACCCAACUGCGUAAUUAGUGGUGGUCGGGGGACCGCGUUCAUGCUCUCCCCUG